AGCACUGUGGUGAAGUGGCCUAACACAGCCGACUUUCUAUCGGUCAUACGCGGGUUCGAAUCCCGUCAGUGCUAUCA
Molecule: transfer RNA, 77 nt
Filed under: Priestia megaterium
Lineage: Bacteria; Bacillati; Bacillota; Bacilli; Caryophanales; Bacillaceae
Description: Bacillus megaterium tRNA-Glu
Rfam family: tRNA
About the family: Transfer RNA (tRNA) molecules are approximately 80 nucleotides in length. Their secondary structure includes four short double-helical elements and three loops (D, anti-codon, and T loops).
Source: RNAcentral